CAGAUUAAAAUUUUAACAAAUAAAAAGCAACGUGCGUUAACGGAGCAAGGGCGCUCCUGCAAAUUGGAAGAAUAAGGUUUCUUAAAGCAGCUUUUUGGUUUUUGAGGGGGUGCUCUACUCCCAGGGAGAUAACGUGAUUUGUUCUAACAGGAAAAAAAUGGCACAUAUUCAGCAAAGUCUUUCCACUUCAAUCUCUUCAUCAACUUCUACUUUAAUGGAUCAGCACAAACUCCGUCUCAGGUAUCAAAUUUCAUCCCCUAUGUUUUGUUUGAUUUCCUAACUCAGUUCCAGUUCUAUUUUUUUUGUUGGGAUAGUUUCAAUUCAUAUGAUUCUUAUUUGAAUCUUAUAACUGCUUUCGUUAUCGACAUUGCUGGUUCUCUUUUGCUGGUAAAUAUUCAAUAUUUAAGCAUUAGCGAAGCAGUAGAGAAGGAAUGUCCACUAUACCUUCAAGCAUUCUGACUCGCUUCAGCUUCAGCUAUUCAUUUUUCUUUAUUUCAUGGUAGAAAAUUAGGUUUUGUUAACGAUUUUUAUGUCUUACCUUUAUUUUCUUCCUCCAAAGACCUGGGGAGAAAGUGUCUUUCUUUUGUUGGUUUUCUACCUGGUGUGGGGUACCCACAUUGAGGGUCGCACCGCGUUAGGCCAUUAAAGGGGGAUGCACUCAUACCAAGAUGUUUUCCAUUCAUAGGGCUCUAACCCGAUACCCCUCGUUAAGGGCGGAACGAUCCUAUCCAUUGCACCACAACCUUUGGUGGUGCGGUUAAAUAUCUACUUCUACUGAUUCUUGAAUUUGACUCUUUAUUUUUCUAUAAUUUGAUGGUAGAGCAUUUUGUUUUGGUUUUUAUUAAUGUUUUCAUUUUGAGUUACACGAAGCUGAGGAUUCUCUUUUUCCUUUAUUGAAUGAAGUAUCCCCCAUUUAUAGCAUUUACAGACUGGGAUGAGUUUACUAGUUAGCGAACUGCCUUAGAAUCUCAUCUGUAUUGGUUGUAUAUUCAUGACUAAAUGCGUUGAUGAGAAUGUAGUAAAAAACUACUGUUGCUUCCAUUAAUACUUUGGUAAUCCUGAGUAUUUUCAUUCCUGGUGUAUGCAAUGUUUGCUAAUAUAAAGUGUGGAUUAAUUGUUGGAGGAGCCAGAAUGUGUCACUGCCAGGCAAAACCAAUGGUAUUGUCAGAUGUGUUGCAACACCCUCUACGG
Molecule: long non-coding RNA, 1191 nt
Filed under: Nicotiana tabacum (common tobacco)
Lineage: Eukaryota; Viridiplantae; Streptophyta; Magnoliopsida; Solanales; Solanaceae
Description: long non-coding RNA (NTAB_LNC001086)
Source: RNAcentral